This 706-nucleotide ribosomal RNA is filed under the name bacterium. RNAcentral's name for it is "bacterial SSU rRNA". It matches the Rfam family "Bacterial small subunit ribosomal RNA", at positions 25 to 748 of the family's 1533-position model. The record is from RNAcentral.
CAGGAACAACGUAGGUGGCGUGCAUAACACAUGCAAGUCGAUCGGAAAGGCCCCUUUGGGGGUACUCGAGUGGCGAACGGGUGAGUAACAUGUGAGUAACCUGCCCAUGAGUUCGGGAUAUCUUCCGGAAUCUGGGAGUAAUACAGGAUAGGAAUCCUUGCCGCAUCGUGGUGAUAGGAAAGCUUCGGCGGUUAGGAUGGACUCGCGUAAUAUCUCCCCAAGGUGGGGUAGUGUAUUACCAAGGAUAGGACGGUUAGCCACCCUGAGAGGGAGACCGGCCCCAUUGUCAUUGAGAUGCGGCCCAUACUGAUUCUUGAGCCAGCAGUGGGGACUAUAUCACAAUGGGCGGAAGCCUGAUGCAGCACCUUCGCGUGCGAGAGGACGGCCUUCGGGUUGUAAACCGCUUUCAUCAGGGGCGAAGCUUUUUGGCGGUUCCCUGCAGAAAAAGCCCGGCUAAAUUCGUGCCAGCAACCGCGGUAAUACGGAGGGGGCAAGCGUUAUUCGGAAUUUAUGGGGGUAAAAGACCUGCAGGGGGUUUGACAAGUCGGAUGUGAAAUCCCCUAGCUCAACCUNGAGCGUGCAUUCGAUACGGGUUAACUUGAGUAAGGUAGAGGAGAAUGGAAUUCCUGGUGUAGCGGUGGAAUGCGCAGAUAUCAGGAAGAACACCAGUGGCGAAGGCGGUUCUCUGGACAAUUAACUGACGCUG